GAUCGCGCCCUGAGCCAAAGGCAGACGCUCAACCACUGAGCCCCCCAGCCGUCCCUGGUAGAUUUUAAAGGCAACGGCAAGAGGAUUCUAGUGUGGAGUGUGAGAUAAAUCAAUAAGCCCAAGGAUGGAGUUUCUACCUUGAACAACAGGAGAAUGGAGUUGCCACUUACUGGAUUAGAGAAGAAUUGGGAAGAAAUGGGUUUGGGGACUUAGCAAAUGCUAUGGAUGCCUUGUCCCCCCUCCCUCAAGCUACUUCUGAGUUUACUUGCAGCUUGGCCAACUCAUCCCUCUACCUGGCUGUCCUGGGGACUCCUUUGCUGGGGAACUUUGCUUCCACUUCCUGUUCUAACCUCCUGUGUAAGUUAGCGUUUGCCGCAUAACAAACUACCUUAAAAUGUAGUGGAUUAAAACAACUCUUAUUUUUGCUCACGAUUUUUCGUCUCAGCAUCUGAUCUGGUCUCAGCUGGGUGACUCUUCUGCUGGCCUUGCCCAUGUCACUUAGUGCUCUAAUCGUCUGGCAGCUUGAUUGGUGCUGAGUGGUCUAAGGUGAGCUCUGCUGGUAGAUGGCAGGUGCUGGUUGUCAGCUGGUUAAUUUAAGAGGCUUCAGACGGACCAGCUCAUCUACCUCCCGGGCCCUCUCUUCCUUCUCUAGCAGAGAUGGGGACUCUUCACGUGGCAGUCUUGGGGCAGCAUCAUAAGGGGGGCAAAAGUGGAAGCUACAAAACACCCUGAGGCCUGGGGUCAGAAGCCCCCCAGUGUCACUUCUGCAUUCUUUGGAUCAGGGUGUGCAAAUAAAGCUGGAGUUGAGAAGGAAGCCAAGGAGGGGCAACCAUCUGCAGAAACAGGAUCCUACGUCCUAGGCUUUUGUUACCUCAUUAGCUUGAGUGCUUUCAGGAGGACAUUUAAUGCUUCAACUUCAAUUAGCAAGCUCUCCUGGAAGAAAAUACAUACCACUGUCAUUUCUAAAUUGUACGACCUUACAAAAUUUGAUUUCCACAAAAGAAUGUGAAAAUCAUCUUAGAUAAUCUAGGCAGCAAUUUCAUCUGACAAAUGUGAGAUUUGAUUCUUUCAAACAAGAAGACCUGAAAGGCAAAACUGCUUUCAUGUGAAAAAUAAACACCCGUGAUGUCAACUGUUUAAUAUCAAUUACUCCCAAAAUCCUUUUUUCCUAGAUUUACUUCUAAAUAAAA
Molecule: long non-coding RNA, 1190 nt
Organism: Canis lupus familiaris (dog)
Lineage: Eukaryota; Metazoa; Chordata; Mammalia; Carnivora; Canidae
Exons: 3
Source: RefSeq, a predicted model, not a curated record